UACAGAGGGGGCAAGCGUUGUUCGGAAUUACUGGGCGUAAAGGGCGCGUAGGCGGCCUGCUAAGUCGAACGUGAAAUCCCUGGGCUCAACCCAGGAACUGCGUCCGAUACUGGUUGGCUUGAAUCCGGGAGAGGGACGUGGAAUUCCAGGUGUAACGGUGAAAUGCGUAGAUAUCUGGAGGAACACCGGUGGCGAAGGCGACGUCCUGGACCGGUAUUGACGCUGAGGCGCGAAAGCCAGGGGAGCAAACGGG
Molecule: ribosomal RNA, 253 nt
Filed under: uncultured bacterium
Lineage: Bacteria
Description: partial 16S ribosomal RNA
Rfam family: Bacterial small subunit ribosomal RNA
Source: RNAcentral